GUACUUAUUUCUAAUAUAUUAGUUGAUGAAGUGCAAAACCCCAAUUUUUUUUUUAAAUUUUUUUUUCAUUCUGGAAAAAGAAACAUAUGAUCAAAAAAGAUAUUUUAAUAUGAAGCCUGAGACAUAUAGAUUUUUAUAAAUUGACAUCAGUAUGUGAAAUAAUUGUUAUGUUUCUGAAGAAAUCAAUGUUGUAUGUUUCAUGACAAUUGAUGUUUUGUUAACAUUAUCAGUAUUUGAAUAUUGAUAUUACAAUCUUAUAUCUAUUUUUUUCUUUUUUAUAAUCGAAAAUAUUACUUCAGUUUGAAUUCUGAGAAAGAAAAAAAAAUCCUAAUUUAUUCUGUCAGAAUGCUCUAUCGAAUAUGAUUUAAAAUUUUGUGUGUUGAAUAACUUGUUUGAUUUUAUAAUAUCUGCUUUUAUUAUUCAAUAUCUUUUUGCUAAUCAUCAGUAUUAAAGCUUGUAUGUGAUAUAUAAUGAUGUAUGUUACAGGGUUUGCUAUAAUGAUAGAGCUCAAUGUUAUCAAAAUUUACAAUAUGUGAGAACUAUGUAUUUCAAAUAAGUUUGUUUAAAUUUAGAAAUCUUUUAUUUUGUGUUAUGUUUACAUAGAUGUGAUAUAUUUACAUGUUUGUGUUGUUGUUUUAUCUUAAAAACAUUAUAUUUCUAUAUUUAUGAUUUUGAAUUAUGUUAUUUAUAUAUAAGAAUCUGUGAUAUAUUAUACCAUUCUUUACAAUGUAGUUUGUUUGUAUGCUUUUUGAAAGCAACUUGCACUGAUAAUUUUCAUAUUAAAUAAGUUUUUUACAUGUUUUAACUGACAGCCAAGUUAAAAGCCUGAACUGGCUCCCACACAACUUAAAACUUAUAUUUGUUAAGAGUUAAAUUGAAAGAAAGUCAAUUACUAUUUAUAGAAAAAAAUAAUUUUGAUGAUAUAUUGUAUAUUCCCAAAUCAGUCUAUCAAAUUGAUGAUAAUCGCAGGAAUUUUUAGACAAAUUAAUGAAUAUUUCUGUAACUGACAUGGGUCACUAAAACUCUUCCAAUUUUUUCUAUAAAACAAUUUUGUUUAAAUAUUUUGAAUAUUAUUAACAAUCUUUGACAAUGUAUUUACAAUAUGUAAUUGAUUGCUUAUUAUCAUAUUGCUUCAAUCAUUUUAAUCUUUAUUAAAAUUUUAAGAAAAUCAGAAAA
Molecule: long non-coding RNA, 1176 nt
Filed under: Mytilus galloprovincialis (Mediterranean mussel)
Lineage: Eukaryota; Metazoa; Mollusca; Bivalvia; Mytilida; Mytilidae
Source: RNAcentral